CAAUUGCUUACACUAAAUGAUCCAAAGGAAGGUGGUGCACCAGACAUUUCAGGGAUGAUGGCUGUGCAAACAAUUGCAGAACGGAUGGCCACUCCUGUGAAUGAUGGUGAUGUGCCUAAUGUGCUGUCACUGAAGGAUUCACUGACUGCCAUUCGUAAUGCUACACAAGCAGCUGAUCGUUUACAUCAAGUAUUCAGGAUGCAAUCAUUCCAGCGGAAACAGUUAACUGAGUAUGGUGAUGAUGAUUUCAAUACGUUGGAUGAUCGUGCUCUUGCACUUAUAGCCGCCAAGACACACAAGCCUAUGCAUUCUGAUGGACAAGUCAAUGCUGCAGCUAUUCAAAUCCAGAAGAAGUUCCGUGGUUGGAAAAAGAGAAAAGAAUUCCUGAUAAUUCGGCA
Molecule: unclassified non-coding RNA, 398 nt
Filed under: Hevea brasiliensis (rubber tree)
Lineage: Eukaryota; Viridiplantae; Streptophyta; Magnoliopsida; Malpighiales; Euphorbiaceae
Source: RNAcentral